UACGAGUGCCCCGAGCGUUAUCCGGAAUCAUUGGGCGUAAAGGGUGUGUAGGUGGCAGUGUUAGUCGGUUGUUAAAACCUGGGGCUCAACCCCAGAUCCGCGACCGAAACGGCACAGCUAGAGGAUGCGAGGGAUGUAUGGAACUCAUGGAGUAGGGGUGAAAUCCGUUGAUAUCAUGGGGAACACCAAAAGCGAAAGCAGUACAUUGGCGCAUUCCUGACACUGAAACACGAAAGCGUGGGUAGCGAAUGGG
RNAcentral lists this ribosomal RNA (253 nucleotides) under uncultured bacterium. RNAcentral describes it as "partial 16S ribosomal RNA". It matches the Rfam family "Bacterial small subunit ribosomal RNA", at positions 524 to 776 of the family's 1533-position model. The record is from RNAcentral.